RNA transcript from Populus nigra (black poplar), 1728 nucleotides. It is a transcript of the gene named wall-associated receptor kinase-like 8, with no coding region annotated. The record is from RefSeq and is a predicted model, not a curated record. The transcript is spliced from 4 exons. Lineage: Eukaryota; Viridiplantae; Streptophyta; Magnoliopsida; Malpighiales; Salicaceae.
GAACCAUCAACUCCUCCUUCCAAAUAUCGCUAUAAAUCUAUUAUACUCUCUAGUGAAGUUUCUUCCUUAUUUUAAACUUGCUAAUAUCUAAUUCUCCCAAACUCUCACCAAUGUCAUCCACCUCAAAUGCAUGGAUCUUCACCUGCAUUCUUCUCUCCCUCCCCGUGCAUUUCACCAUCUCUGCUGCUGUGCAUCCUAUCCCAAUAAAUGGCACAUGUCAUGAUACUUGUGGCACAAUGCCAGUGAAGUACCCCUUUGGCUCCGGAUUUGGUUGCGGGCACCCCGACUUUUCUAGAUAUGUAAGAUGCAACUCUGACACACUAGAGUUCUCGACUGGAACUGGAAUUUACAAUAUCUCAGAAAUCGAUUACACAACUGGUUCCUUAAUUAUCACAGACCCCUUCAUGUCUACUUGUAGUUCAAUGCAGAACUCAGGAAGCUUUAGCCUGGAUCGAGCUAGUCCGUUCUCUUUAACGGGGGAAAAUAUAUUUGUCUUGCUUGGAUGCUCAACCAAUUCUCCUUUAUUUGAUCCAGCUGAAGAUUUGUGUGCUAUGGGGUCGCGCUCCCGUGUAUGCAGAGGACUAUACUCUUGCAAGGGAGUGACGGGAAUAGGGUUGCCACAGAAUGCGCCACCUUCCACUUGUUGUGUUUACGAGUCACCUAUCCAACUAGCAGGCUACACGUUGGAUCUUCCAAAGCUCCAGUGCUCUUCUUAUACAUCAGUAUACAGUUUCGGGGGGAGUGAGGGGGAUCCAGUGAAAUGGAAAUUUGGGAUUUCUCUGCAAUAUAAUGGUUCAUACUAUUCUAAUUUAUGCAAAGAUUGUGAAUCCAGCGGGGGCUUGUGUGGCUUUGCAGGUUUUGAUCAGUCAUUUGCUUGCAUUUGUAGGAAUGGGAAGAACACCUCCACUAGUUGUUUUGGCCAAGGCUAUACCUGGAGCGGGACACGGGAGUCAAAAAUUCAAACCAAGCUCAGUUUUGGAGCACAAAAAGUCUUCUGUGCUUUGGAUUUUUUUGCUGUGGCGUGCUCGACUCCACCUUUUCCUAUUCCCUGAAAUCAUGGCACCUAGCUAGAGACUGUCAAAUUGGCCAAAGAAAGAAACAAAAGGUCAUCUAAAUGGUAUAUCCGUUCUUCAUUAUUUGAUCGCCUGGAACCCUGAAAAGUUGCUCACACAGAUUUUCUUUUCCUCUCUUAUUUUUGCCUUGUAAAUGUGCUGCUGGAAGAUUAAACGAAUUUCGCUCGUGGGACACUUGCCCCCACAAAAGGAAACGAAUCCCGAAAAGUCAAACAAAUAACUAGCUUAGCCCAUCCUCAAGUAGAUUUCCUGCAUGUUAUCUUGUAACCAUUAAAAGUCGCAUUUUUUUGCUGGACGCGAGAAUCUUGCUCUUGUGGCUGGUACUUUCUAUGUGAAGAUUGGAAAUGAAAGAUCUCCAAGAGGUAGCCUAGAACUCAUCGCUUCUUGGGUCAAAUGCAGCACUCUAUUCUAUAACUGACAGGAAAAAUGUCCUGAUUCUGCAUCUACCUAGCUUACUGCAUGUCUUGAUUGUAUGUUCCAAUUUUGUUUAAAGUUCAAACUUCAAAAUGGACAAUACGUUCUGUAUUACAGCUUACUGUUACCAUUACUAAUAACUGAUGAUGUACAAAAUCUUCAAUUUGCUUACGAAGAAGAUACAUGUGAUUGGAUAAUAGGUUGAUUAUUUAAUUUUUAUAUUUUGAAUUAUUUUCUUUAA